This 884-nucleotide unclassified non-coding RNA is filed under the name uncultured Prochlorococcus sp. Its description in RNAcentral is "partial 16S-23S ribosomal RNA intergenic spacer; may also contain 16S ribosomal RNA and 23S ribosomal RNA". The stretch from base 354 to 426 matches the Rfam family "tRNA". Lineage: Bacteria; Bacillati; Cyanobacteriota; Cyanophyceae; Synechococcales; Prochlorococcaceae. The record is from RNAcentral.
UUGUGGAAGGAGGACGCCGAAGGUGGGGCUGAUGACUGGGGUGAAGUCGUAACAAGGUAGCCGUACCGGAAGGUGCGGCUGGAUCACUUCCUACAGGGAGACAAAAACUGAUUUUGAUGUCUGAGCAUUUAACUCUUAGGCCAAGAUCCUGUCACCUUAGGUCGAUCGGUACCUCAAAUUAAUAACUCAAGUUUUGAACAUUCAAUCCCUAAAGUUGGUUAAUUUUAGUUCCUAAACUUUGUCUAGGUCACACCCCACAAGGGUUACUCCUGGGCCAUUAGCUCAGGUGGUUAGAGCGCACCCCUGAUAAGGGUGAGGUCCCUGGUUCAAGUCCAGGAUGGCCCAUCGGUGUUGGGGGUUUAGCUCAGUUGGUAGAGCGCCUGCUUUGCAAGCAGGAUGUCAGCGGUUCGAGUCCGCUAACCUCCACUGAUCUACCUUCUUCAACGACAAAGAGUUGAGGAGCAUUGUGUGGUGUGAUUUGAAUUGAUUCCGCUGUUGGAACCUAGCUUCCUCUCAUUCCAACCCCAAGUAUUCGAUUUGGGAAAGGUUGAAAGGAUGCUGGGCUCACUUUGAUUUUUUAAAUCUUAGAGUAGUUCAGCAGAACCUUGAAAACUGCAUAGGUGAGUCUGGAAAGAAUAAAGCAUCUCAUGGAUACGUUGUUCUUUUUCAAACAAAGUCAAUAGAGAAAUCUAUUGCUUUUUUUGAUAUUGAAUGACGUUUAAAUUCUUGAGUUAGAGCCGAGAGCUUAUAGCGUCUUUUUUUGCUUUUAUAGGCAUAAAGAGUUUGAUUAAUUAUUUCUUUUAGCUGAAAUCAGCUAAAAGAAAUAAUUAAGAAUGCGUUUCAACAACGUUUAUCGCUAUAAGGAUUAUAUGGUCAAGCUACAA